Molecule: ribosomal RNA, 497 nt
Filed under: Anaplasma bovis
Lineage: Bacteria; Pseudomonadati; Pseudomonadota; Alphaproteobacteria; Rickettsiales; Anaplasmataceae
Description: bacterial SSU rRNA
Rfam family: Bacterial small subunit ribosomal RNA
Source: RNAcentral
UAUGCAUAGGAAUCUACCUAGUAGUAUAGGAUAGCCACUAGAAGUGGUGGGUAAUACUGUAUAAUCCCCGCGGGGGAAAGAUUUAUCGCUACAUGAUGAGCCUAUGUUAGAUUAGCUAGUUGGUGGGGUAAUGGCCUACCAAGGCAGUGAUCUAUAGCUGGUCUGAGAGGAUGAUCAGCCACACUGGAACUGAGACACGGUCCAGACUCCUACGGGAGGCAGCAGUGGGGAAUAUUGGACAAUGGGCGCAAGCCUGAUCCAGCUAUGCCGCGUGAGUGAGGAAGGCCUUAGGGUUGUAAAACUCUUUCAGUGGGGAAGAUAAUGACGGUACCCACAGAAGAAGUCCCGGCAAACUCCGUGCCAGCAGCCGCGGUAAUACGGAGGGGGCAAGCGUUGUUCGGAAUUAUUGGGCGUAAAGGGCAUGUAGGUGGUUUGGUUAGUUAAAGGUGAAAUGCCAGGGCUUAACCCUGGAGCUGCUUUUAAUACUGCCAGACUGG